GGAAGGUGGCUGGGUGGCUGAAAUCAAAAAUCCAAUUGCGCACUGGGUUGUGAUGAGAAAUCUAAUCAGAUCUUUGACGAAGGGGCCGGCCGGAAGGGUAGCCGGUGGGGGCAGUUGAUCCCUAAAUUCUCCGAAGGGAAAGCUGGGGAAAGGAAUCGAGGAUGUAAAGACAAGACUUUUUUGUUCUUCUUUCUUUCUUUCUUUUCUUUUCUUUCUUUUUUUCCUUUUCUUUUUCUUUUUUUUUUUCUUUCCUUUUUUUUAACCCCCGGAGGAGGUGGCUUUUGGGUGCCUUGCUAAAAUGAAGGAUACGGGACGCAGCUCUCUCUUGGAGCAGAACGCAGAGGAUAAGGUGAUGGUGCCAGAGAGAAGAAAGAAUGAAGCUUUUUCUUGUGAGACCUGGAUCGUAACAUAAAUGUGUAUAUGGCCACACGGAGAGCAUUGGGGGGAAAAAUGAAAUAAGCUGAUGUCAGACCUGCGGGGUUUGGUGUAUUCUGACAUAAAUAAUCAUAAAAUAGCUGUCCCCCUCCCCCAAGGAUGUUUGGAAAUGAAGAACUGAGGAUCCACAAAGAAAAAGUGUGCUCAUUUUUCUCUGUAAAAGAGAAAGUACGCCAAGGAGAUAUUUUUGGAAUGAAAAGUUUGGGGCUUUUUUUAGAAAAGUAAAGACCUGAUAUAUAUAUAUUUUUUUUUCUUUUGGAAUUUCCCACAAGAGGAGAGGAAAUUAAUAAUACAUCUGCAAAGAAAUCCCACUGAAGAAAAGUUGACCGUGGAAGAAGGAAGCAUUGAUUGGGAAAGAAAUCAGCAGAGGACCCUUGGAUCAGUGCCCGUGUUGACUAAAAUUGAAGGAUAAUUGCAGUUGGAUUUUUUUUUCUUCACCAACCUCCUUUUUUGUGUGUUUUCUUUCUCGUUUUCUUUUGGUGUCAAGACCGUGCAUUCUUUCUUGUUCUUAACCACCUGGAUUUCCCUCGGGAUGUAGCUGUGCUGAAAUACAGUGAGUGAUCCUAAUUUUCUUAUUUAUCAGGGCAGAAAUUGUUCAUUAAUUUAGUGUUCUGGUUCUCUUUCUUUCCCCCUCCCCCCUCACUGUGGUUUUUUCAAGGACCCGGCUAUUGGGAACAAGAAAAUGAGGGACAGGGUGGCCCACGCAGUUGUUCCAUCAAGCUGUGCUCACUGAUAAGCUGGACUGCUAUAAUGAUGCAGGUUGUCUGCAUUCUACGCAAAUGCCUUUGCAAGUGUUCAGUAUGGAGAAGAAGG
Molecule: long non-coding RNA, 1248 nt
Filed under: Mus musculus (house mouse)
Lineage: Eukaryota; Metazoa; Chordata; Mammalia; Rodentia; Muridae
Description: long non-coding RNA chr2:97467432-97468680
Source: RNAcentral